UGGGGAAUAUUGGACAAUGGGCGAAAGCCUGAUCCAGCCAUGCCGCGUGGAUGAAGAAGGCCCUAGGGUUGUAAAGUCCUUUCGGUGGUGAAGAUAAUGACGGUAACCACAUAAGAAGCCCCGGCUAAUUUCGUGCCAGCAGCCGCGGUAAUACGAAAGGGGCUAGCGUUGUUCGGAAUUACUGGGCGUAAAGCGCGUGUAGGCGGGUCGUUAAGUUGGGGGUGAAAUCCCGAGGCUCAACCUGGGAACUGCAUUCAAAACUGACUGACUAGAGUAUGGUAGAGGGUGGUGGAAUUUCCUGUGUAGCGGUGAAAUGCGUAGAUAUAGGAAGGAACACCAGUGGCGAAGGCGACCACCUGGACUGAUACUGACACUGAGGUGCGAAAGCGUGGGGAGCAAACAGGAUUAGAUACCCACGUAGUCCCUGAGCGGGCUGGCAAGGCGCAU
Molecule: ribosomal RNA, 447 nt
Filed under: uncultured bacterium
Lineage: Bacteria
Description: bacterial SSU rRNA
Rfam family: Bacterial small subunit ribosomal RNA
Source: RNAcentral